This 2998-nucleotide ribosomal RNA is filed under the name Triticum aestivum (bread wheat). Its description in RNAcentral is "partial small subunit ribosomal RNA". Lineage: Eukaryota; Viridiplantae; Streptophyta; Magnoliopsida; Poales; Poaceae. The record is from RNAcentral.
GGGCGGUGGUAGGGGGGCGGGGAGCUUAAGAGGAAGUGUCAGGGGUGAAGCGGGGCGUGACUAGGCUGCCCCCGGCAGUGCCGGCCGCUGGCGGCGCAUGCACGAAAGGGGGUGGAAUAGGAGCCCGGGGCGUGGCUCAGCGCGGCGGUGUCGAACUUAGCUCCGGCGGUAGCUUGGGAUCGGCGGCGGGGAGCUAAGGAGAGGCUGUAGCUGUAGCUGUAGCCGCCGCCGUGCCUCCGCCCUAGGUCCGCUGCAGCGCAGCUGGCCAUGGGCGCGCAUAGUGCCACAACUCAAACCUAGGAGAUGUAGUCGACUUCAAUAACAUCAUCGUACAGGUGCUUCCUUUGUUCCGAAUUUCUUCAAUUAAGACAACCCUACUUUCUAACCCGAUUAUAAGUCUGACUAUAACAACCAGAUUAAUAUUUCUUCGAACCGUAAGGACUGAUGUAGUCUAAGGCACGACAUACGUGCAGUACCUUGGUAUAGACGUUCCUUCAUAGGUUGGUAGGUGCCCACCUGGGUACCGACUACGAGGGGUGUUUCCGCGAACUUCCACGAUUUAAAAAAUCCAAUGGACUUUUUUUCUCAGUUUGGUAGGUAUAGGGCUCACAACGGUGCUAGAAACCUAGGUACACCUGAGGCCAACCAAGUAGGGUACCGACCGAAUAGAAGAAAUCGGGCGGUGUCCCUUGGUAGGUCGACCAAUUAGGGUAGUCGUCGUGUAGCAAGGUUGAGGGGAGUUAGCCUUCCUUCGUGGACAGGUUCCGGUACAACGAACUGUACUCACUCUCGUUGAAGUGACAACGACAGUAGGUAGCGCUGGUUUUUCCUAUGGUUCACUGUGCGUUUCCUUCAUUUUCGACCAGCAAACAGCUAAGUUUUGUGUAAAACCACCUACAGAAGUUCGUGGCUUCCGUUGAAAUGUGGUAACUACAUAUACCGUGCCAGCUCCACACCCGUCUCGGAGGGGCAAGUACCGGUCUACUACUGAAGGGGGUCCACCUUGGCGUAUACGUGUUGGAGCAGGUGAUGGUUGUGGUCUUCAAGUUGACAGACCACCUCUGGGGCAGGCCUGUGGAGUAUUCCCAGUUCGCGGUCAGCGUCUUGUUCAAACGCGACACCCAGGAGCUGUCCCUCUGGAGAAGGAAGCUCGCCUGGUCGCUGUAACCCCUUAAGCCCGACAAGCAGUCGGUGAUGUCGAGCAAGACAAAGGGCCGGUUCCUGGUAGGCAUGGACUUCCGUUUGACGCAGAUGAAGUAGCUGCCGAUGUUGUUGUACACGCGCAAGUUGGAACUCGUACCCUGGUUCCUCGAGCAUCUUCGGGAGCUUUGGCGACGGGGACGAGUCUCAGUCGUUCUGAAAAUGCCCGCGGUCGGAGCUCGUCUCGGCAAGGAUACCAAUUAGGGAAGAGACUUCACUAAGUUGCACACGCUUCGACUUUGACCGCACAUGGAUAUAGGAUCUUUGGCCAUGAGACUUGGUGAAUGCAUAUUGAUCAUAUUCAUAACCUGCAUAAGGACCAUGAAAACACCGUUUUUGGUAUACCGACUUCAAACUUAACUCGUCGGCCAGCAACGCACACAAACAAAACAUAUAUAUUAUAUACGUUGACCGAACACAAAAACCUGUUUCAACAUAAUGAUCAGGACCCAAACCGUAAGAGGGAGGAACAGGGUCCACGGUCACUGUGUACGUCUUAUAGACCAGCGUAUAGACACACCGUCACUGUACUCGUCACGUAAAGGUGCUUUUUUCAGACAUGAGAGGGUCCUCAUUAAACCAAAGAACGCUUAAACCUUCAUUGAAGGUGAGCCAGUCCUUAAGUCUUCGGCCUUCACAACGGCACUCGUGGGUUGCGCCAACGGCUAAUAGGGGCGAAGAAAGGGGCGCAAAAGGCUCGUCCACGUCGGCGAGACAGGUUAUAUUCGGUUGGCGUAGAGUAGGGCACAGCUCUAGUUGGGUUGCGCAGUUUGUGCACGCAGCGGUAAGGGGUGAAAGAGUCCGGUGUCGCCGCCGUGGUCGAGCUAGAGCGGGCGCUGGUGGCGCGGUACCUCGGCCGGCGCUGCAGGAUGGGCCACCGCGCCCUGGGCGGCGGCGCCGGCCGCGGCGUCUGCCGCGUCGACCCGCCGCCAGGCCGCCGCGGCGUCGGGCCGCCCACCCGCGCGACCCGCGACACCCGGCAGCACAGGGAGCAGGAGCGGCGGUCGAAGCGCACCCCGCACAUGGUCCGCGCCGUGGCCGGCGCCUCGGAGCGGAUGCAGCAGCAGUGGAUGAUAGAGGAGCGGCACGAGAUGACGACGGAGCCCUUCGACUCGGACGACGCCGCGCUGCUGGGCCGCCGCCGCGGGCUCGCCGCGGCCCAGGCCGAGCGGCACACCCAGCAGAGGCACCGCAAGCGGUUGCAGUAGCGGCGCGCGCAGCGGCUGAGCUACGGGCUGGCGCCCGAGGUCUAGCGGCAGACCCACCAGGAGCGGCGGCCGUAGCCGCAGCGGAAGAUGAAGAAGAAGCAGGCGCUCCCGCGGGCGCUACUCCAGUGGCCCGUCGCUUCCCUCCGUCUCGAGGUGGUCCACAGGGGCCUCGUCUCCCAGACUCCGCUCCGCUCGAGCUCAGUUGAGACGGUACCUACCUACCUUCUACAUCAUAUCGGUAACGAAGCAAAAAAGAAUUAACACAUUUGAAAAAAAAAUUCGAACAAUAAAAGCCGCUCGACGACACACCGACACCGACAGUCAGCUGUGAGCUGCUGCACGACCCCAAGCGACCUUAGUGACUGCACACCCCGACGUUUAGUCGACCGGGCGUACAGUCAAAAUGUGAUCCAGUGGAGUCGGUUUAGACUUGCGGUAUGAGCCACAUUGUAAACAAAAGAAAACGACAUUUCAAACUGGCUGCACACAUAGAUAAGCUGGUGCAGAAGCAUGACGACUAAAAAGCCACGCAAUAGAGAAGUCCCGUUCAUCAGGCGUUCCAAACUAUUUCAGUUCGAAAUAUCUCAAAC